GGCCUAACACAUGCAAGUCGAGCGGAAACGAUGGUAGCUUGCUACCAGGCGUCGAGCGGCGGACGGGUGAGUAAUACUUAGGAAUCUACCUAGUAGUGGGGGAUAGCACGGGGAAACUCGUAUUAAUACCGCAUACGUCCUACGGGAGAAAGGGGGCAACUUGUUGCUCUCGCUAUUAGAUGAGCCUAAGUCGGAUUAGCUAGUUGGUGGGGUAAAGGCCUACCAAGGCGACGAUCUGUAGCUGGUCUGAGAGGAUGAUCAGCCACACCGGGACUGAGACACGGCCCGGACUCCUACGGGAGGCAGCAGUGGGGAAUAUUGGACAAUGGGGGAAACCCUGAUCCAGCCAUGCCGCGUGUGUGAAGAAGGCCUUUUGGUUGUAAAGCACUUUAAGCAGUGAAGAAGACCUAACGGUUAAUACCCGUUAGCGAUGACAUUAGCUGCAGAAUAAGCACCGGCUAACUCUGUGCCAGCAGCCGCGGUGAUACAGAGGGUGCAAGCGUUAAUCGGAAUUACUGGGCGUAAAGCGAGCGUAGGUGGCUUGAUAAGUCAGAUGUGAAAUCCCCGGGCUUAACCUGGGAACUGCAUCUGAAACUGUUAGGCUAGAGUAGGUGAGAGGGAAGUAGAAUUUCAGGUGUAGCGGUGAAAUGCGUAGAGAUCUGAAGGAAUACCGAUGGCGAAGGCAGCUUCCUGGCAUCAUACUGACACUGAGGCUCGAAAGCGUGGGUAGCAAACAGGAUUAGAUACCCUGGUAGUCCACGCCGUAAACGAUGUCUACUAGUCGUUGGGUCCCUUGAGGACUUAGUGACGCAGCUAACGCAAUAAGUAGACCGCCUGGGGAGUACGGCCGCAAGGUUAAAACUCAAAUGAAUUGACGGGGGCCCGCACAAGCGGUGGAGCAUGUGGUUUAAUUCGAUGCAACGCGAAGAACCUUACCUGGUCUUGACAUACACAGAAUCUUGUAGAGAUACGAGAGUGCCUUCGGGAAUUGUGAUACAGGUGCUGCAUGGCUGUCGUCAGCUCGUGUCGUGAGAUGUUGGGUUAAGUCCCGCAACGAGCGCAACCCUUGUCCUUAGUUACCAGCGGGUUAAGCCGGGAACUCUAAGGAUACUGCCAGUGACAAACUGGAGGAAGGCGGGGACGACGUCAAGUCAUCAUGGCCCUUACGACCAGGGCUACACACGUGCUACAAUGGUAGGUACAGAGGGCAGCUACACAGCGAUGUGAUGCGAAUCUCAAAAAGCCUAUCGUAGUCCAGAUUGGAGUCUGCAACUCGACUCCAUGAAGUAGGAAUCGCUAGUAAUCGCGGAUCAGAAUGCCGCGGUGCAAUACGUUC
This 1336-nucleotide ribosomal RNA is filed under the name uncultured Psychrobacter sp. RNAcentral describes it as "bacterial SSU rRNA". It matches the Rfam family "Bacterial small subunit ribosomal RNA", at positions 45 to 1373 of the family's 1533-position model. The record is from RNAcentral. Lineage: Bacteria; Pseudomonadati; Pseudomonadota; Gammaproteobacteria; Moraxellales; Moraxellaceae.